UACGGAGGGUGCGAGCGUUGUCCGGAAUUACUGGGCGUAAAGGGCACGCAGGCGGGCUUGUAAGUGAGAUGUGAAAUCCCCGGGCUUAACCUGGGAAUAGCAUUUCAGACUGGGUGUCUAGAGUACUUUAGGGAGGGGUAGAAUUCCAGGUGUAGCGGUGAAAUGCGUAGAGAUGGGGAGGAAUACCGAAGGCGAAGGCAGCCCCCUGGGAAUAUACUGACGCUGAUGUGCGAAAGCGUGGGGAGCAAACAGG
Molecule: ribosomal RNA, 253 nt
Filed under: uncultured bacterium
Lineage: Bacteria
Description: partial 16S ribosomal RNA
Rfam family: Bacterial small subunit ribosomal RNA
Source: RNAcentral